Molecule: long non-coding RNA, 3871 nt
Filed under: Homo sapiens (human)
Lineage: Eukaryota; Metazoa; Chordata; Mammalia; Primates; Hominidae
Description: non-protein coding LINC01120:6
Source: RNAcentral
AACUGCCACCUGGGAGACUGCUGGUAAAGAUGGGAGGUGGCCUUUGCCGCUUUCCAUCUUCUCACUGCAGUUUCUUCACGUGGGCCACUUGUACUUAAAAUGUCUUCUUAAUUUAUUCUUUUUACUUCCCCAGCUCCAAUUUGUCUACAGAUUUACAAAUUUGUUUUAUAGUUUUAUGACUCAAUUUGUAUUUUCGGUCCUAUGAAGCUUUUUGCCUUAAAUAUUUUUCUCUGUUUAUAAGAAUGUGCUGUUUCCUAGGCCAGUUUUGUACACACUCUUCCAUAGAAUAGAUCCAGAAGAAACACAACAAUACUGCCUUCAUCAUAUCAGGAGAUCUUGAUACCAAAUACGAGUGUUGCCUCCAAGAUGCAAGAUCCUGAGGGCUCCAAAGAAUCCACUGUCCGUCACAAAUCGACGGUCCGCCAGCUCAGUUUCAGAGACGUGGUGCUCCGCUGCAGGCCUCAUCCUCAGGUGCACCCUGGCAGUCAGCCAUCUGAAGGUACUAUGGAAAUUCAGUUACUCACUCUUGGGAGCAGAAGGAUUCCAGACCAUUCCUGUGUGCACCCUGGCAGGGAGCCAUCUGAAGGUACUGUAGAAAUUCAGUUACUCACCCUUGCAAGCAUAAGGAUUCCAGAUUCUUCAGGGUCCCAAACUUCAGAUAACUCUAAAAUUGCUACACUAUAUUCUUCUUUAUUUCAUGUGUGCCAAUUUAAAUGUACAAGUCAAUCACUAGUGCUACAAAUGCAGAAGUAAAGAUGUAUUUCCACUUCAAGUUUGGUUCACUUUUAAGAGUAAAGAACACGUCAAUGCAAGGUUUAGAUAUUAAUGCAAGGUUUAGAUAUAAUGUCUAGCUGAUUGUUAGACAUUAGCUAAAAUGGAACUCUUCCUGAGAUAGCGUUGCCACAUUUUCAAACAAAUGGACAUCAUGUGAAACUUGUAAAUUAACUUAAAAAUUGCAGUAGUACAGAAAGUUCCCAUAUACCCUCCCCCCUCAGUAUCUUUUUUGUGACCACAUCUUACAUGAAUGUGGUGCAUUUGUUAUAGUGGUUGAAGCAAUAGCGAUAUCUUCUUCUUAAUGAAAGUCUAGAGUUUGCACUAAGGCUCACCCUGUGUUGUUCAGCCUAUGGAUUUUGACAAACUCGUAAUGUCAUCCAUCACCCAGACAGAAGAGUUUCACACCCAAAACAUGACCAAUGCUGAACCUAUUAAUCCCUUUCUUCUUUUCCUAGGACCCCUGACUACUAUAGAUCAUUUAUUUUAUUGCCUCUAUGGAUUUUCUUUCCCAAAAUUCUAUAGAAUUGGAAUCAUAAAGUAUGCAGCCACUUAGGACUAACUGAUUUCGCUUAGCAACAUACAUGCAAGAUUUCAUAUCUUUUUGUAGCUUAAUGGCUUACAAAUUUUUAUCAGUGAAUCGUAUUCCAUUGGGUCCAUGUAAUGGUGUGGGUUGGUGCACUCACCGCCUGAAGAGCAUCUCAGCUGCUUCCAGUUCAGGCAAUUACGAAUACAGCUGCCCUCAUUCUUGUGCAGAUUUUGCAAUGGGUGUAAUUUUAAAAUUUAACUGGGUAAAUGUUUAGAAUUUUAAUCAGUUUUUUGUAUAAUAACACUAUGUUUUCCUUUGUAAGAAUUAGGUAGAAUUCAGUAAAAUCUACUGGGCAUUUUUUAAAAAGUUAUUGUUGAUUUAAUUUCUAUAAUACAUACAAGCCUACUCAGAUUAUCUGAGUCUCCUUUGGGUAGUUAUGGUUUCUGCCUUUGAAGGAAUUUUGCUGUCAGAUUUGUGAGCAUAGAUUUAUUCUAAGUAUUCCUUUAUUAUCUUCUUCAUAUUCAUGGGAUCAGCAGGAAUGAUUCCUCUUUUUAUUUACAUUAUUUAUAAAUUGUGUCUUCUAUCUUUUCUCUGUGGUUAGCCUGGCUGGAGGUUUAUCAAUUCUGUUUAUCUUUUCUAAGAAGCAGCUUUUGGUUUUGUUUUGUUCUCUGUUUAUUUUAUUAUUUCUAUUAUAAUGAAUAUAUUUUUUUUCUAUGUUAAUGUUGGGUUUACAUUACACAAUACUUUUUUCUCUAGUUUCCCAAGGUGGAAGGUAAGAAAACUGAAUUAAGAUUGUUUUUAGUUUUCUAGAUAGCAUUGUGAAUGGAACUGAUGUCACAGAAGUGUGCAUUUAAUAAUCAAAAUAAUACAUAUUGUGUAUUUUUCACCAAAAUAAUGAUUUAAAAUCCAGUAAUAUAGAUGGUAAGUGCAGAAGGAGCAUAUGUAGAUUCAGGAACGUUAAACAUUGUAACUUUUUUUAAAAAGAGGAUAUUUACCAGGCCUCUUUCUGUGAGGAGACCCUGUCCUGGAGUGAUGCCGUGCAUUUGUGUGCUGCCUGGGUGAACACUGCCUACUUCACAGUGAUGAGGGUGGCUUAGACAGAGACCCGAGGCUCUGUCCUCCAGGGCUCUCCUGAUGGUCUCCUUUACCUUCCUUCACCACCAAGGAGGGUGGCCCAGCAGCAGCUCAGCCUGUGCUCUCACCCACCUCCUCUGCACACACCAGUCCUCGUCCUCAGCACCCAAGGCUGCCAGAGGUCCUUCAGCAGCUCCCGUGGCUGACAGUGACUCUACGUUUCCUAGAUUUCAGGGACCACCUGGAGGGGAGCGGACCAGAGAGACUUCCUCGGAAUAGGCUGUGGCUCUUCACAAGGUGUCUUCUAUGCUUUAUUUGGGAGCCAUUGCCUUGAGCGUUAUUUCCCAGAUGGUUUUCUAAUGUCACCAACUGAAGAAAAGACCCAUGCACACAGGACACAGCAUGAUCUGAUGCUCACAGCGUUUUCCUUCCUCUCUGAAAACGGACUCAGCGAUUCUGGCAAGCGGUACUUACUCUGAGAUCACCCGUUUGCUAAGGAAAAAUCUUAGUACUGAGAAAGGUGACACUUUCCUCCCUGCUUUUGCUGGAGAGACACUUUGGUUAUGAGUUAUUUCUAGCAUAACACAGUUUAUUUCAGAAGUCCAGCUCAAUAGCAGACCAAGGCAUGAACAACACAUGAAAAUUUAUGUUGGGAAAAUAUAUAUUGUAUGUCUGCUUGAACUGUGGGUUCUUGAUUAAUACAAAACUGGUUGAUGAAGGUUGUUACCUUCAGGAAAAUGCAAAUCUAGUGGAGGGACAAAACUCACAGUAACAGUAUUUCAUCAUAGCCACCAUGAGGCAGUACAUUAUGAAGCAUGUCAGUGAUGAAUUACUGGCAGGCUGGUCUGUCAUUGAAGCUACACUCUGUUUCUAGCUUCUGUUGCUUCUGCUGUCUCUCUCCUAACAUCUGCAUAUUCCUCCACUUUGUGGUGGAGGAAGCAUUAGGGCUGAUAUAGGGGAUUUCCAGUGAGUGUAUAAUUCAGUGCAGAAUUGGCAGGAAUAUAUUCCAUGGUUAGGAGCUGGAGAAAGUAAGAAAUAAAAAUAGACCUUGAAGAAUGGGUAGGAUUUUCAAAAUCAGAGAUAAAGACGCAAGAAAGAGAAUUCAGUUUUUCAAGUUUCUAAGCAAUCAUAUUUACAUGCAUAGACAUUUUGCUGGUUUCUGUCUUACUAAUGUAUACUACACUGUGUCUAAUCACUCUGAGGGCUGGUAUUUCGGGUCUGUUCCAGACACUCAGGAAUCAUUUGUUCAGCUUGUUCUAUAUGCUGGAAACUGUUGCAGGGAUGGAUAUAUGCAGUCCUUGUCCCAAAGCAGCUUAUGACUCCAAGAGCAAGGGAUAGAAUAUGAACAUGUGUCUUUGGGUUACUUCUAGGGGUAAGAAUGAGUUCUGUGGGCAGAUGCAUACAGGAAGUGGGGAGAGGGAGAAUGAGAUACAAACUAUCCAGGCAGGAGGCAUUGCAGUAAUCAAAGUGAACUAUGAGAGAAGCCUGGGGUGUUGU